CGCGGGGUAGAGCAGCGGUAGCUCGUUGGGCUCAUAACCCAAAGGUCGCUGGUUCAAAUCCAGCCCCCGCUA
This 72-nucleotide transfer RNA is filed under the name Caldifarciminota bacterium. RNAcentral describes it as "candidate division WOR-3 bacterium (hot springs metagenome) tRNA-Met". It matches the Rfam family "tRNA". Rfam says of the family: Transfer RNA (tRNA) molecules are approximately 80 nucleotides in length. Lineage: Bacteria; Pseudomonadati; Caldifarciminota. The record is from RNAcentral.